RNAcentral lists this microRNA (21 nucleotides) under Brachypodium distachyon (stiff brome). RNAcentral's name for it is "bdi-miR396b-3p". Its record names the gene bdi-miR396b-3p. RNAcentral also lists the same sequence under 1 other name. Lineage: Eukaryota; Viridiplantae; Streptophyta; Magnoliopsida; Poales; Poaceae. The record is from miRBase by way of RNAcentral.
GUUCAAGAAAGCCCAUGGAAA